GGGUUGUGAGGUUAAGCGACUAAGCGUACACGGUGGAUGCCCUGGCAGUCAGAGGCGAUGAAGGACGUGCUAAUCUGCGAUAAGCGUCGGUAAGGUGAUAUGAACCGUUAUAACCGGCGAUUUCCGAAUGGGGAAACCCAGUGUGAUUCGUCACACUAUCGUUAACUGAAUACAUAGGUUAACGAAGCGAACCGGGGGAACUGAAACAUCUAAGUACCCCGAGGAAAAGAAAUCAACCGAGAUUCCCCCAGUAGCGGCGAGCGAACGGGGAGGAGCCCAGAGCCUGAAUCAG
RNAcentral lists this ribosomal RNA (292 nucleotides) under Salmonella enterica. RNAcentral's name for it is "partial 23S ribosomal RNA". It matches the Rfam family "Bacterial large subunit ribosomal RNA", at positions 1 to 284 of the family's 2925-position model. RNAcentral also lists the same sequence under 1 other name. The record is from RNAcentral. Lineage: Bacteria; Pseudomonadati; Pseudomonadota; Gammaproteobacteria; Enterobacterales; Enterobacteriaceae.